Molecule: ribosomal RNA, 681 nt
Filed under: Triticum aestivum (bread wheat)
Lineage: Eukaryota; Viridiplantae; Streptophyta; Magnoliopsida; Poales; Poaceae
Description: partial small subunit ribosomal RNA
Source: RNAcentral
AUGGAGACAGAGAUAGAAAGGGAGAAGAUGGAGAGGGGCAAGUCUGAGCUGAGGGUGGCCAUGGAGGAGCUCUGCUUGCUCAGCCCAGGAGAUGGUGAAGAACAGGAGCAGGAGCAGCAACUUAGGUCAUCCACCAUGGAUCUCCUCUGUGUCUCCAAGCAGCUUCUGCAUGUCCUUGAUGAGAUUGGGCCAACGUUACUAGUCCUCAGGCAAGACAUUCAGCAAAAUGUUCAGAGACUACAAGAUCUCCAUGCAAGAGACUCCUCGAAAUAUGCGACUUUGACCGCGAUUGUGAUAGAGGAAGUGGAGGAGGGGACCUCAAAGAAGACCAACAGUUGCACCAGGGCUAUUAUCUGGCUGGCUAGGUCGAUAAAUUUCUCAGUACAUUUGCUGGAGAGAUUAAUGAAGAACCCAGAUUCAAGCCUGAAAAAGAUGGUGGAAGAAGCAUACAACAGCACCCUGAAGCCAUUCCAUGGAUGGAUCUCAUCAGCUGCUUACAGGGUAGCAUUGGGUCUCAUUCCGGAAAGAGAGAUCUUUAUUCAGCUGCUGAUGGGGAACUGCCAGGAUCCUGAGGAUUUUGGAGGAGAUGUCAUGAUCUUGGUCUCCAUUGUACAGCCUCUGCUAGAAGAGAUCAAUGCCAUUUUGGUCAAACACCAGCUGGACAGGCUCAAAUCCACCUGA